RNAcentral lists this long non-coding RNA (302 nucleotides) under Brassica rapa (field mustard). RNAcentral describes it as "long non-coding RNA (BRAP_LNC004064)". The record is from RNAcentral. Lineage: Eukaryota; Viridiplantae; Streptophyta; Magnoliopsida; Brassicales; Brassicaceae.
UCUCUGAAAACUGAACCAACCUUGAAGCCUUAAAUUACUGAACCUGUCUUGUUUCAUAUCUGAUUAAACCUCACUGUCAUGCUUCUCUGCAACUUCCUUUCACUUGGAUCCUGGAACCUUUAAUCAAUAUCCAAAUAGCCAUUGAAACACAUACCAACAUCAACUUCCAAGGCGUCCCUCAGACCUGAGAUUCAUAAGUGCCACCAACUGCUAUUCUUUCCAUCUUCUGAAACAACACUGCAUAUUUCUUCCACAAACGAGCUGACCAAAACACAAUCUGACACCAGACCCGAGCCUUGAUC